UACGUAGGGGGCUAGCGUUGUCCGGAUUUAUUGGGCGUAAAGGGCUCGUAGGCGGCUCAGUAAGUCGGGUGUGAAACCUCCAGGCUCAACCUGGAGACGCCACUCGAUACUGCUGUGGCUAGAGUCCGGUAGGGGAGCAUGGAAUUCCUGGUGUAGCGGUGAAAUGCGCAGAUAUCAGGAGGAACACCAGUGGCGAAGGCGGUGCUCUGGGCCGGAACUGACGCUGAUGAGCGAAAGCGUGGGGAGCAAACAGG
This 254-nucleotide ribosomal RNA is filed under the name uncultured bacterium. RNAcentral's name for it is "partial 16S ribosomal RNA". It matches the Rfam family "Bacterial small subunit ribosomal RNA", at positions 524 to 776 of the family's 1533-position model. The record is from RNAcentral.